GCUCAGAUUGAACGCUGGCGGCAGGCCUAACACAUGCAAGUCGAGCGGUAGCACAGGGAGCUUGCUCCUGGGUGACGAGCGGCGGACGGGUGAGUAAUGUCUGGGAAACUGCCCGAUGGAGGGGGAUAACUACUGGAAACGGUAGCUAAUACCGCAUAACGUCUUCGGACCAAAGUGGGGGACCUUCGGGCCUCACACCAUCGGAUGUGCCCAGAUGGGAUUAGCUAGUAGGUGAGGUAAUGGCUCACCUAGGCGACGAUCCCUAGCUGGUUAGAGAGGAUGNCCAGCCACACUGGAACUGAGACACGGUCCAGACUCCUACGGGAGG
This 328-nucleotide ribosomal RNA is filed under the name Serratia fonticola. Its description in RNAcentral is "bacterial SSU rRNA". It matches the Rfam family "Bacterial small subunit ribosomal RNA", at positions 22 to 348 of the family's 1533-position model. Lineage: Bacteria; Pseudomonadati; Pseudomonadota; Gammaproteobacteria; Enterobacterales; Yersiniaceae. The record is from RNAcentral.